AUAGAUCUUGAUGAAAUUUUUGCAUGAUUAGAAGUAAAGAUCACCAUUAUCAUUUGCUUGUUUUAUGAGCUUUAUAUUCUGUCAAAUGAAUGUGUAGAAUGCACUCCUAUGUGGUUAUUUCAUUAAAGAAGAUCUAUGUAAAAUAACCACCUUAUUUGAAAACACUCAUUACAAAUAUGAUAAAGCAAUAUAUGAUUUGGAACAAGC
Molecule: long non-coding RNA, 207 nt
Filed under: Phoenix dactylifera (date palm)
Lineage: Eukaryota; Viridiplantae; Streptophyta; Magnoliopsida; Arecales; Arecaceae
Description: long non-coding RNA (PDAC_LNC015975)
Source: RNAcentral